GUUUAAUUUAGUAUAUUUCUCUUUCAAAGAAAGACUACAAGAGAUGAUCAUAUAGAUAAAAAUUAGGUCUUCUAGAUUAAUAUAUUUAGUUUAAUCUUAAUGAAUAAUGGCAGAACGGGUGCUUGAGGUGCAAGGCUUAGAGGAACCUGCCCUAGCACCUCAACCUGCAGAAGGUGGGUGAGGUUGCAUGCCUUAAGUGAUGUAUAUACAUUUUAAUGGUGGCCCAUGCAACGGAACUUCUACUUGUCCGGCUUUGUAGUAGAAUUUGUCCAGCGUGCUUCUAUUUAGUGAAAUGAGCUAUGAUCCAUUUGUU
This 313-nucleotide unclassified non-coding RNA is filed under the name Hevea brasiliensis (rubber tree). Lineage: Eukaryota; Viridiplantae; Streptophyta; Magnoliopsida; Malpighiales; Euphorbiaceae. The record is from RNAcentral.